This 119-nucleotide non-coding RNA is filed under the name Emiliania huxleyi. The record is from RNAcentral. Lineage: Eukaryota; Haptophyta; Isochrysidales; Noelaerhabdaceae.
CCGCGAGGAAGUGCCGCUCCUCCGGCCCCAGCGCCCGCAGCAGCGCCUCGCUCGAGGCGAAGAAGGUGUGCCCUCCUCCGUGAGAAAGCUGGCUGCGGCACAAAAACGACAUGUACCGA